Molecule: ribosomal RNA, 429 nt
Filed under: Chloroflexota bacterium
Lineage: Bacteria; Bacillati; Chloroflexota
Description: Chloroflexi bacterium partial 16S ribosomal RNA
Rfam family: Bacterial small subunit ribosomal RNA
Source: RNAcentral
UAGGGAUUCUUCGGCAAUGGACGAUAGUCUGACCGAGCAACGCCGCGUGAGUGAAGAAGGCUUUCGGAUCGUAAAACUCUGUUGUUAGAGAAGAACAAUGACGUUAGUAACUGAACGUCCCCUGACGGUAUCUAACCAGAAAGCCACGGCUAACUACGUGCCAGCAUCCGCGGUAAUACGUAGGUGGCAAGCGUUGUCCGGAUUUAUUGGGCGUAAAGCGAGUGCAGGCGGUUUAUUAAGUCUGAUGUGAAAGCCCCCGGCUCAACCGGGGAGGGUCAUUGGAAACUGGGAGACUUGAGUGCAGAAGAGGAGAGUGGAUGUACAUGUGUAGCGGUGAGAUGCGUAGAUAUAUGGAGGAACAACAGUGGCGAAGGCGGCUCUCUGGUCUGUAACUGACGCUGAGGCUCGAAAGAGUGGGGAGCAAACAGG